RNAcentral lists this microRNA (22 nucleotides) under Bos taurus (domestic cattle). RNAcentral describes it as "bta-miR-2284d". Lineage: Eukaryota; Metazoa; Chordata; Mammalia; Artiodactyla; Bovidae. The record is from miRBase by way of RNAcentral.
AAAAAGUUCGUUAGGGUUUUUC